UAAGUGAAAAACAAUUUGUUCUGAUUCAUAUUGUGUGAGUCCUGUUUAUCAUAUCAUGUAUGUUUUGCAUGCCUUUGAGGUCCGAGACAUCGCCAUUAUAUUCGCCUCGCCGUCCGUAGUAUAAACUUUUAAAAUUUGUUUAAAAGUAUUUUUGAAUGGAGAUCUGACUACUCAUUUCAUCUUAAAUCUGUUGUUGUGGUUACUAAUUUAUUGUUGUUACUGAAUUUGAGUUCAUGGUUAUGCGUUGGUUUUGUCAUGGUGAGGAAGAUCGUUGUUAAUUUUCAUAUUGUGUAUUCAUUUAUUAGUUGGUAAUUACUUGUAUUCACCAACUUCUGGUUCCAAUUGCAUGUGUAUUUACGAAGGAAAGUGAUGUUGCUGCUUUCACUAUCAGUGUAGUUGAUGACCCCUGGACUUUGAAUAAAGUGUUGUAGUUGAGACCCCUUGAAAAUGUUUAUGAACUGGUUGAGUCAUGUUAUGGGAAACAAAAUAAUGAGGUAAAAUUGAAAUCACGAUAGUAGUGGUUUUUCUUAUUGCUUAUUGGAUGAGUAAUAGUCUUGCUGCUGGAGUUUUUAUGCCAGUAGUGAAAGAUAGUAAAAGCCUUUGGAUAAAAAAUGGAAAAGUCUAUUUUCGGAUCUUUUAAGCCUUUACUGUUGAAUUUUGGUGUUGGAGAAGUCUGAAAGUCGGCAACAUCAUCUAGGUAAUGGAUUGAAUUCCACAAAUUUAUAGGUAAUAUGAGACUUUAACCACUCACUUAAAUUUAACAAGGUGAACAGAAAAAUCUGGCCUCCUUGGUAUGUCUUUUGUAGGCAACUUAUAAGAACAUGAUCCUCCAAUGGAGCCAAAGGUAUUCAUGUUCUGAUUUUGACCAAUUUUGUUUAUUCCAUUUCAUUUUAUAAUCUCCUCCACGCGAUCUCUCCCCCGCACCCAUCAGAUCGCCUUUUUGAGCUUGUCGGUGACCUCCUUCUUCCUUCUUCACAGUGAGGACCUACGGCCACCACACUAUAGGUCCUUCUUCUUCUUUCACAUUUUCUCCUACCACGGAAGCAAAGAUCCACUCACGAUAGGAGAGAAAUCCAAUGAUAUUGUCCAACUUAUAAUCAUCUUUGAACUUUUUUGGUAUUGCCAACUGGGCAUCAUAACGAAAUUGUGGUUGAUAAGGUAUACACUUAUUUGUAUGAGAUGCAAGUUAUAUUAAUUUGAUUAAUUAGCACAGUUUCAUAAUAAACCACUCUUUAGACGUGGAAAUUAGCAUGUACAUAACUCAUGGAUAUAUAUCAUUAUAACAUCAUGACAGGUUUGAGAGAGGUUGUAUAAACUUUUCAAGUCUUAACCUGUGAUGAUCCAUUUCCAUUUUAUUUUCAAUGAGGAUCGAGGUAUCUGAUAUAAGCGAAAAAUAACCAUCAAGCCAAUUUAAUCUUGCAGAGAGCCAUAAAAGAAGAGCGG
Molecule: long non-coding RNA, 1443 nt
Filed under: Lathyrus oleraceus (garden pea)
Lineage: Eukaryota; Viridiplantae; Streptophyta; Magnoliopsida; Fabales; Fabaceae
Description: Pisum sativum (pea) long non-coding RNA (PSAT_LNC032735)
Source: RNAcentral